GGGGUAAAAUUAAUAAUUUAUAAUUAUAAUAAAAAAAUUUUUAAAUAAAAAUAUUUAAUGGGGGUUAAAGUAUUUUUAUAGAAAAAAUUAAAUAAUUUAAAGUAAAUUAGUAUUGUGAAAGAAUUUUGAAAUAAUUGAAAUAAAAAAUUAUAAUAAAGUAAUUUUAAUUUAAUGUAUCUUGUGUAUCAGAGUUUAUUAAAAAAUAUUUAUAAAUAAUAAAAUUCUCGAAUUUAAAAGAGAUAAUUAAUUAUGAAAGUUAUUGUAGCAUAAAUAUUUUAAAUAAUUAAUUUGAAAUGAAAUGUUAAUCGUUUUUAAAUAUAUCUAGUUUUUUAGAAAAAAAUUUAAUUUUAUAUAAUUUUAUAAAUCAAUAAUUAAUUAAUUGAUUUAUAAAAUUAAUAUUAUAUUUUAAGGGAUAAGCUUUAAUUUAAAUUUAUAUAAAAUAUUUUUAAUUUAAUUUGAAAUUUUUAUAAUUUAUAUUGUUAAAAAAUUUUAAUUUAUUAUAAAUAAUUUCAUUUAAAAUAAAAUUUAAUAAUAAUUUAUUUAUUUAUAAAAAAAAAUUAUUUAAUUAAAAAAUAAUUGUUAUAAUGAUAAAAUUAGUAUAUGAAAUUAUUUUUUAAAUAUUAAUUUUUUUUAAAAAUUAAUUAUAAGGAAUUCGGCAAAAAUUUAUAUUCACUUGUUUAUCAAAAACAUGUCUUUUUGAAAAUAAUAUAAAGUCUAAUCUGCCCACUGAUUUUAUAUUGAAGGGCUGCAGUAUUUUGACUGUACAAAGGUAGCAUAAUCAUUAGUCAUUUAAUUGAUGACUUGUAUGAAAGAUUGGAUGAAAUAUAAACUGUCUCUUAAUUAAAUUAUAGAAUUUAAUUUUUUAAUUAAAAAGUUAAAAUAAAUUAAAAAGACGAGAAGACCCUAUAGAGUUUUAUAAAUAAAUUAAUUAAGAUUAUUAAUAAAUUUUAAAAAUUAAAAUUAAUUUAUUUAUUUUGUUGGGGUGACAAAAAAAUAAAUUUAACUUUUUUUAUAUAGAACCAUAUAUAAGUGAUUAAAUGAUCCAUUAAUAAUGAUUAAAAGAAAAAAUUACCUUAGGGAUAACAGCGUAAUUUUUUUUUUUAGUUCGUAUAAGAAAAAGAGUUUGCGACCUCGAUGUUGGAUUAAGAUAAAAUUUAAAUGCAGAAGUUUAAAAUUUUUGAUCUGUUCGAUCAUUAAAAUCUUACAUGAUCUGAGUUCAAACCGGUGUAAGCCAGGUUGGUUUCUAUCUUUUAAAAAUUAAAAUAUUUUAGUACGAAAGGAUUAAAUAUUUAAAUUAAAUUUAUUUAAAUGAAUUUUAAUAAAUUUUAUAUUUAAAAAAUAAAAUAUAUAUUUAAUAUAUAUAUAUAUAUAUAUAAAU
RNAcentral lists this ribosomal RNA (1378 nucleotides) under Agrotis ipsilon (black cutworm moth). RNAcentral describes it as "16S ribosomal RNA". The record is from RNAcentral. Lineage: Eukaryota; Metazoa; Arthropoda; Insecta; Lepidoptera; Noctuidae.